Molecule: long non-coding RNA, 1819 nt
Filed under: Gossypium barbadense (sea-island cotton)
Lineage: Eukaryota; Viridiplantae; Streptophyta; Magnoliopsida; Malvales; Malvaceae
Description: long non-coding RNA (GBAR_LNC015271)
Source: RNAcentral
UAGCAGAUCAUUUCUGUUUCUUUAUUGCUCUGAAAACUUUCUCUCUUCCAAACUCCAUCUCUCGAUGCUUCCCUAAUCUGGUUCGCUCAGCUCAUCAUGCCAUGCUUGGGUCUCUGCAUAAUCAGGAACGCCCAUUUCCAGGUAAAAUUCCUCUCCUCUUCUUAGCGUCUCUGUUGCAAGGAUAUGUGCAAGGUUGUUUGCAGAUCUUGUUGUGUGAAGAAAUCUGAUAUUUUUUACUUCUAGUAUUUUCUGUUGUAUAUCAUAAAUAUAUGCCCCUACCAUUGAUCUGUCAUGAUCCUUUUUGUUGCAUUUCUUGAUUAUUACGAGGGAAUCUCCUUCAAAAAUGAGUGCCUGCCAACCAUGGUCAACUCCUACUUGGACUGCUUUCCGACAGGCAAUUGCUUUAGCAGCAAAAGCAGAUGGAACUCCAUUGUGGAUUUCUGAGCAGGAUAAAAGAAUUUUUCCUUCCGAGUCUCUGGCCACAACACCUGAGGCUGACCGGUUCUGAAUCUGAUUAUAUGCACUAUCAAAAUUAAUCUUUAUGGAUUCCCACUGUGGGUGUGUCCAUCUCUCAUUUCCUUUCAUUAUUUCUGAGUUUCUUUGUUCAAGAUCAGUUAACUCAAUGAUGUAAUUACUAACAAAGUUUGCAACUUCUAUUCCAUUACUAACUUUGCCUUCAUGUAUGUUUCUUUUUCUGUCUCCCCAUAUGGCCUAUAGUGCACAGCAAAAGAGUCGACUUUGAUUUGGGUUUAACUGCUCUAGCGCCCAGGUGAGCCAUUGUACAAAAUCUUCGCUUUGAUACAUCAUAAUGUUCUGAAAUGAUAACAUUUUCCAUACCUCUCUUGUAACAGCACAGUCACGGAAUAAGUGAUUCAUCGUUUCAGCUCCUUCUCCACAUCGGGGACACCUUGUGUUGACUGCUAAUUUUCGGUGUUGUAGAUUUACCUUUGUAGGCAGAUAGUUCCAUGAUAGCCGCCACAUUGUGAUAUUUAUUUUUGUUGGUAUAUUCAGGCUCCAAAGUGUUUUGUAAAAUUUUCUGUAGAGGUUUUGUAAAGCAUAAGCUCUAGGAUUAUCAGUCGAUCUCUGUAAUAGUUGAUAGGCACUUCGUACCGUGAAUUCACCCGACUUCUCCCUUCCCCAAAUAAGAAAAUCUUCAUGCGGUGAUUGUGCCAGCGGGAUCCUAAGGAUUCUUUCAGCAUCUGCUUCAGUGAAGGUAUUGUUAAUCAACUCUGCAUUCCAGCUUCUACUAUUACUGUCGAUUAACUCCUUUACUUUAGAAACGCGCAUAGAAUUAACUCCUGACGACAAUUUAAAAUUAUCAGAAUCUGGAAUCCAAGCAUCAGUAAUGGAUAUACUAGAACCCGUUCCCACCUUCCAACAGUGCCCUAUUAUCAAUAAGGCUUUGGCUGCCCAAACACUUUUCCACACAUAAGAACAAGAGUUUCCUAACUGGGAGUUUAAAAAAUCAUUUUCUGGGAAGUAUUUGGCUUUAAAAACUUGCGCAACAAGAGAACCCUGAUUAUUCAUAAUCUGCCAUCCUUGUUUAGCCAAUAAUGAGAUAUUGAAUUGCGCCAUAUUUCGGAAACCCAUACCUCCCUCCUCUUUAGGCUUACACAUAUAUUCCCAUUGGCACCAAUGUAUCCCUUUUUUGCCUUUUCCUUUCUGCCACCAGAAUCUGGCAAACAGUUUUUCUAUCUCCUCACAGAAAGAUUUUGGUAGCAAAAAACAUGUCAUCGCAUAAAUAGGGAUUGCUUGAAGUACUGCUUUAAUGAAAACUUCUUUGCCUCAUUGAGAUAAGAAACGUGUACUCCAAUUAUCU